AUGGAAUUGGAGGCCCCGGUGGUCGAAGCAGAUCCGGGGAGAAGGAUCACAAGAGGAGCAGGAGGCGGCGGCGGCGGCGGCGGCGAGGGGGAGGGCCCGGCUGGUCGAACCACCCUCCUGCCCUGCCCCAACUGCGACAUCCAGGUGGUGCACAAGCUGGCGCAGCUGCUGCUCCCGGGCCUGGCCGCGGCGUGCGUCGACAGCACCCUCGGGAGCCCCUCCUCCGCGCUCGCCGUCCAGCUGCGCGCGGAGCUGGUGCGCUACGUCGCGCACCGCAGCAGCAGCCCGCCCGAGGCGGAGGAGGAGGAGGAUCCGAUCGACCGCGAUGACCCGGCCGAGGCGCUGGCCGUCUUCCUGGACGACUUCGCGGGCAGCAAGAGGAGCGUCGCCGUCUCCAUCGCCGGCUGGCUGCCGUACCUGGGCGGCGGCGACGACGGCCGCGACGACCGGAUCGAGGACCUCGUCGAGGAGAUGGAGGCGAGCCGCUUCUGGCCGGUCGAGAGGCGGGAGGCCGUCGCGCGGGACCUCCUCCGCGGCCUGGACGACGGCGGCGGCCGGUUCUGCUGCCGCGACGAGCUGGAGACCCAUGAGGAGCUCGCCGACCACGUCGCCGCGCGCUGCCGAUUCAGGCCCGUGCGGUGCCGGAACCAGGCCCAGGGCUGCCGGGCCGAGGUCUCCGCCUGCCGCGCCGACGCGCACGACGAGGCGUGCGCCUUCAAGCUCCUCCCCUGCGAGCAGCGCUGCGGCCUCGCCGUCGCCCGGCGCCAGAUGGACCGGCACUGCGUCACCGUCUGCCCCAUGAAGCUCGCCAACUGCCCCUUCUACCAGCUCGGCUGCGAGUCCGCCUUCCCGGCCUGCAACCUCGGGUCGCACUGCGCCGAGUUCCUUCGGCCUCACCUCCGCCUGCUCCUUAGUCCCAGCAAGAUCGGCGCUGAUCGUCUGGAUCCGGAGGAGCGUCUUCUACGGCUGGAGAAGUAUGAUUCCGAUGGUGCAUUGGGCGAAGCUUUGGACGUGAGGUCUCUCACCAAAGCUCUUGCUGAGCUAGAGAAGAAGAUGGACGCUGAAGAUGGUUCCCCCGGUUACACCGGAGACGACAACAAACAGCUCUGCACUAGUUUCGUUCCCUGA
This 1128-nucleotide ribosomal RNA is filed under the name Triticum aestivum (bread wheat). RNAcentral describes it as "partial small subunit ribosomal RNA". Lineage: Eukaryota; Viridiplantae; Streptophyta; Magnoliopsida; Poales; Poaceae. The record is from RNAcentral.